Molecule: long non-coding RNA, 3215 nt
Filed under: Capsicum annuum
Lineage: Eukaryota; Viridiplantae; Streptophyta; Magnoliopsida; Solanales; Solanaceae
Description: long non-coding RNA (CANN_LNC007439)
Source: RNAcentral
UAUUAUAGAGUAGACUGAAGAAAAAAAAUAUUCUUCUCCUUUCUUUUUCCUUCUUUCUUCCUUCCAUUUUUUUUUUAAAUUAUUUUCUUGCAUUUGAAGCUGGGAAAUUAUGGCUGAUGAUAAGGUAACUAUUUUGCUUUGUGGGUAAUUUUUUUAUUUAUAAAAACAAUAUAAAUGUACUUGUUUAAGUUGUUUUCUUGAGUUUUUGGAGAAUUUAAGGUUGUUGUUUCUUGGAUAUAUUGCUUCUUUAGAUCAUAUAUCAUUACUAAUAUGAGUUUUUGGGUAUUUUUUUUAAUGUACAAAAAGUUCAUAAAUUUACUUGUUUAAGUUGUUUUCUUGAAUUUUUGGAGAAUUUAAGGUGGUUGUUUCUGGGAUAUAUUGCUUCUUUAGAUCAUAUAUCAUUAUACUAAUAUGAGUUUACAUACCAUUUUGCUUUGUUGGUUUUUUUUUAAUGUACAAAAAGUUCAUAACUUUACUUGUUUAAGCUGUUUUCUUGAUUUUUUUGGAGAAUUUAAGGUUUUUUCUUGGAUAAAUUGCUUCUGUAGAUAAUGUUCUAAUGUACAAAUAACAAAAAGUUCAUAACUUUACUUGUUUAGUUGGUUAUUGCUAGUUAAGGGAAUAUUUGUGUUGUUGUCCUUUAGAUCAAAUUUCACUACUAAUCUGAGUUUAAACGCCAUUUUGUUUUAUGUGUAUUUAUUUUUUAUGUACAAAAAGUUUAUAACUUUGCUUAUUAUGUUGGUUUUCUUUCUGCUAGUUUCAUUUUUUGGAAACUUUUAGUGUGAAUAUUUGGGUUGUUGUUUCUUAGAUUCAAGAUUUGGUUUAUUUAAGUAUAUCUAGUUACACAAAUGUUUCUACUAGCUGUUUUCAUAUUUCUUUUAAAGCAAGUGACUCACCUUCUUGAGCCACACGUUUCUUCCUAGAGUAGUCACAAGCUAUAUUAAACGGAGACUUGUUCAGGUAUUUAGGGGGCUGGCGUACAUGCACACUAUUGCCGGCGUUUGCCACAGACAUUUGAAAUUUUUAUUUAAGGGCUUCAAAAUAUAAAGAAGAAAAGUAAUAUCUACAUUAAAGAAAUAUAAUUUUACCUAGCUACAGAAUGUAUUUUUUCCAACGAACAUAUGGCUCCAUCACUGAUCAUAUCAAUUCUAAUUUCACCAAGUCUUUCACGUUUCAAUUAGAAUUGUAAAUAUGGUUCAUAAAUUCCCCUAAUCAGACAAAGACUUGUGCAAGUCAAUCAAGUCUUGCUUUGGUAUGCCAUGUUCCUCUAAUAUGUUAAUUUUACUAACUUAUAUUAUACUCUUGAGAAUUAUUUUUACAUGAUUAAAAUAGUUUAGGGAGAAAAGUUCGAAAUAUAUUUAAAUUUUGGUAAAAUUUGUUGGAACAUGUCUCAAUUUUGGGAGAGUCCUAUCACCCUCUGGAUUAUUUUUUACUGUAUUUCUGUGGCAUAAAUUUGCUUGCUUGACCAUUACAUGAAUGCACGCACACUGUGCACGUAACUGUCUGAAGUGGUCUAGCUAAGCUAUGCUACAGAAAUGCGGUAAAAAAUAAUCUAGGGGGACCAGCGUCCCCGUAAAGUUAAGGCAUGUUCCAACAAAUUUCGUCAAAACUUAUAUAUUUCGAACCUUUUUCCCGAUAGUUUAUAUAGCUAAUCAUAACAUUCUAGUUACUUUUCAUAAAAGUUAAUUUAGCUCAUUUUUAUAUGAGAUGGUAAUAAAAUGAGCUUUUAAUUAUAGUUUAUAAUUUGUUUGAAAUUUUGACUUGUUUUAGAGUAUGUUUUUAUGAACUUUUUUUUUGAUAAAAGAAUACACAAAAUUAAGAGCCAUUUGGAUAGAAUUAAAAUCUGGUCAAAUCUUUUCAUUUUUUUUUUUGGCUUUCCUUUAAGUGUUUAGUAAAAUUAAAAAGUGCUAAAAAAAACCAAAAACUGAUUAAAAAAAAAGUGAGAAGCUGGAGGGUGGGCUUGUUGUUGUUGAUGGAGCUGUUGAUGGUGGUAGUGGUGCUACUGUUGGUGCUAAUGAUGCUCCUCUUACAGUAUUUAAAGCAAACCAUUAUGAGUAUGAUCAUACUGGUUAUACAGAUUUUGCCUCUCCCAGCGAAUGCUCUGCAUGCAAAUGUCAAGACUGCAGAUUUUGCCUCUCCCAGCGAAUACUCUGCAUGCAAAUGUCAAGACUGCAGAUUUUGCCUCUCCCAGCGAAUACUCUGCAUGCAAAUGUCAAGACUGCAGGGCGAAACAUGAUGUAGUGAUUAAUGCUAUUAAUGCAUUAACUUCUUCUGUAAAGGAAUUGACAUCUAAGAGGGGUCUCAUUCCAUCAAAGAGGAUUUUAUUUCAUCAGUCAUCCAAAAAAGUGAAAUUGCAACUCCUCUGUCUGUGUGUUGUACUAAGCAACGUACAAUGUCCAAAGGAGAGCAGCACGAGCUGAAGAAGGUGAAUAUAUUAUAUGUCUUCCAACUGACAAAACAAACAAACACAUAUCUGUUUCAACAGAUGACACAUCUGCUGAAAAUUUUCUAAUAGAUAUAUACAUCUGUUACAACAAUUGACUAACCUGUUGCACCAGAUACUUUAUCUGAUGCAACAUAUGUCUCAUCUAUUUUAGCAAAUCAAACAGCUCUUCGUACAACUUUUAUUUGUACCAACAGACGACCUAUCUGCUGCAACAGAUGAUUCAUAUGUUACAACGGAUGGUUCAUCCGUUGGAAAUUAUCACACAGGAUCUUCCUCAUGUAAAAAUUUGUCCCAACAGUUGAUUCAUUAUUGCAACAAAAAUAAAAUAUGUUUGGGAUAAUUUAAAAUGGGAGGAAGACCUGUUUGAUUUGCUAGAAGAGAUGAGUUAUCCUUUUCUGUUUUGUUGUAUCUCCGUGAUUAGCAUUGACCAAUUCUGGCUUUCCAGGUUGAUAUAGAAGAAGCUACUGCUGAACAAAAUUGACAAUAUUCUACUUUUUUUAUGGAAAUACGGACAACAAAAAGUGUAGAAACCGUACACAAGCGACAAUGAAGAUCCACGACCAGCAAAGCCGAAUUCCAUAGUACCGGAUGAAGAACAACUUGUCCAUACUGAGUAGAUCUUUAUAUCUUGAGCCUGUCAAAGCAAUCCUUGGUAGUAUACUUAAAUUGUUGUUGAUGUAUUUGUUGAGAUCUAUUCCCAUAACAAUUUUUUUACAUUUCAUUUAUUCGUUGACUUAUUUCAGCUAAUUUAUGAAGGCUUCGAUUUAUUUUA